This 206-nucleotide non-coding RNA is filed under the name Bacteroides fluxus. The record is from RNAcentral. Lineage: Bacteria; Pseudomonadati; Bacteroidota; Bacteroidia; Bacteroidales; Bacteroidaceae. RNAcentral also lists the same sequence under 1 other name.
CUAUCUUUGCCGAUGUUUUGUUCCGCAUCCUUCUGUUCGGAGGGGUUGGAUGAAAAGGGAAUCGGGUGAAAGUCCCGGACAGUCCCGCUGCUGUGAGUUUCAAAAUUGGGUGCAUCCUGUAUCUUUAUGCCACUGUUCAUUAAGAAGAACGGGAAGGCGAUGUACCGGAAACGAGUCAGAAGACCUGCAAAACAAAGUCGAAAAAU